RNAcentral lists this ribosomal RNA (440 nucleotides) under uncultured bacterium. RNAcentral describes it as "partial 16S ribosomal RNA". It matches the Rfam family "Bacterial small subunit ribosomal RNA", at positions 338 to 795 of the family's 1533-position model. The record is from RNAcentral.
CCUACGGGUGGCAGCAGUGGGGAAUAUUGCACAAUGGGGGAAACCCUGAUGCAGCGACGCCGCGUGAGUGAAGAAGUAUUUCUGUAUGUUAAGCUCUAUCUGCAGGGAAGAUAAUGACGGUACCUGACUAAGAAGCCCCGUCUAACUACGUGCCAGCAGCCGCGGUAAUACGUAGGGGGCCAGCGUUAUCCGGAUUUACUGGGGGUAAAGGGUGCGUAGGUGGCUGGGCAAGUCAGAUGUGAAAGCUCUGGGCUCAAACCCGGUACUGCAUUUGAAACUGUCCAGCUGGAGUGCAGGAGAGGUAAGCGGAAUUCCUAGGGUAGCGGUGAAAUGCGUAGAUAUUAGGAGGAACACCAGUGGCGAAGGCGGCUUACUGGACUGUAACUGACACUGAGGCACGAAAGCGUGGGGAGCAAACAGGAUUAGAUACCCUUGUAGUC